RNAcentral lists this transfer RNA (62 nucleotides) under Tropidophis haetianus (Haitian dwarf boa). Its description in RNAcentral is "tRNA-Asp". The record is from RNAcentral. Lineage: Eukaryota; Metazoa; Chordata; Lepidosauria; Squamata; Tropidophiidae.
GAGAACCUAGUAAAUAUAUUACAUAGCUUUGUCAAAGCUAAAUAACAACCCUGUGGCUCUCA